CUGCUGCCUUCCGUAGGAGUCUGGUCCGUGUCUCAGUACCAGUGUGGGGGACCUUCCUCUCAGAACCCCUACGCAUCGUCGGUUAGGUGGGCCGUUACCCCGCCUACUGCCUAAUGCGCCGCAUGCCCAUCCCUGUCCGGCCGAAGCCUUUCCUGCCUCCGGGAUGCCCCGGUGGCAUGUACGCGGGUUUAGCCCGCCUUUCGGCGGGUUGUCCCCCUGACAGGGGCAGGUUGCAUACGUGUUACUCACCCGUGCGCCGGUCGCCGGCGGGAGAAGA
RNAcentral lists this ribosomal RNA (277 nucleotides) under uncultured bacterium. Its description in RNAcentral is "partial 16S ribosomal RNA". The record is from RNAcentral.